CGCUUUGUUAACAAUUACAUAGUGAAACUGCGAAUGGCUCAUUAUAUAAGUUAUCGUUUAUUUGAUAGUUCCUUACUACUUGGAUAACCGUGGUAAUUCUAGAGCUAAUACAUGCUAAAAACCCCGACUUCGGAAGGGGUGUAUUUAUUAAAUUAAAAGCCCAUGCCCUUCGGGGCUCACUGGUGAUUCAUAAUAACUUCUCGAAGCGCAUGGCCUUGCGCCGGCGAUGGUUCAUUCCAAUUUCUUCCCUAUCAACUUUCGAUGCUAUAGUAUUGUUCUAGCAUGGUUACAACGGGAAACGGAGGGUUAGGGCUCGACCCCGGAGAAGGAGCCUGAGAAACGGCUACUACAUCCAGGGAAGGCAGCAGGCGCGCAAAUUACCCAAUCCCGACACGGGGAGGUAAUGACGAUAGAUACUGAUACAGGGCUCUUUUGGGUCUUGUAAUUGGAAUGAGUACAAUUUAAAUCCCUUAACGAGGAGCAAUUGGAGGGCGAGUCUGGUGCCAGCAGCCGCGGUAAUUCCAGCUCCAAUAGCGUAUAUUAAAGUUGUUGUGGUUAACAAGCUCGUAGUAUAACCUUGGGCCUGGCUGGCCGGUCCGCCUCACCGCGUGCACUGGUCCGGCCGGGCCUUUCCCUCUGUGGAAGCGCAUGCCCGUCACUGGGUGUGACGGGGAAACAGGACUUUUACUUUGAAAAAAUUAUAGUGCUCCAGGCAGGCCUUUGCUCGAAUACAUGAACAUGGAAUAAUAGAAUAGGACGUGUGGUUCUAUUUUGUUGAUGACUAGGACCGCCGUAAUGAUUAAUAGGGACAGUCGGGGCAUCAGUAUGCAAUUGUCAAGGUGA
This 843-nucleotide ribosomal RNA is filed under the name Colletotrichum gloeosporioides. RNAcentral describes it as "SSU rRNA". It matches the Rfam family "Eukaryotic small subunit ribosomal RNA", at positions 56 to 914 of the family's 1831-position model. Lineage: Eukaryota; Fungi; Ascomycota; Sordariomycetes; Glomerellales; Glomerellaceae. The record is from RNAcentral.